This is an RNA transcript of Rosa chinensis, 2973 nucleotides long. RefSeq lists it as uncharacterized. NCBI's taxonomy places the organism in Eukaryota, Viridiplantae, Streptophyta, Magnoliopsida, Rosales, Rosaceae. The record is from RefSeq and is a predicted model, not a curated record. The transcript is spliced from 5 exons.
UGCACCGGCCCGCAUCCACCCUUAAAAUAAGCAUCAUGAAUGAAGAAGAAAAGGACGGUUUUGUCAGGCCAAAGAACCAGCCGAGAAUUUUUAUUCACGAAGCCUAUUCUUUGUGGCUUCGCCGCUGCUUCGUCCGGCCACCUCUAGCUACCUCUAGCUACGAAAUUGGUAUCAUUGUCUUCGUAUAGAAAUCAUCUUUCCAAACACAUAAAGCCUUGUUAACAACCUGUUUUCACCAUACACGACGAAUCGUAGGAGGAAAGGUUCGACCAUUUCCGGCGUAUUUUUCAAAUUCCGGCCAAGUCCGGAAAUAUUGUAGGAGGAGACCGACUGGGCUUUGUUCGCCUUUGAGUUCUCUACAAACUCACCAAUUUUCACAUCUCGAUUCAAUCCGAGGAAAGACGAUUUUCGAUUUGAAUUUUCGGGCUGCCGAAGGUUUCGUGGGCGAUCUUGGCUAAUCCAACCGUUAACUCACUUUGGGCGAUCUUGACUAUAUAAGGUUGGAGGUUCGGCAUACUUGGAGUCGAGGCAGUGUUCCACCGCUUUCAUUUUGAUUGUACUAUGCCUCAUAGGUGUUGACCUUGUAAGGACACUCCAUCUGUAGUUGAGGUUACAGGUGACUACUUCUCGGUUGCUGUACCCAAGAAGCAGGUUCUAGGGAGUUUAGUAGUGGCUCUUCCAGGUACUAGUUCUGAUUAUAGUAUGGAGCAAGUCAAACAACCCGGAGCUAAGACCUAUGCCAUCGAUCCGGCUAUGGCUGAAAGUUUGAUCACCCGACUUGAGACUGAGUUUUUGCAUUUGAGGCAGGGUGACAUGACGGUGUUGGAAUAUGGGCGACGUUUCAAUAGCUUGUAUCGUUUUACGCCUGCCUUGAUGGCUAAUGAGAGGGAUAAAAUCCACAAAUUCCUACAAGGACUACGCGAUCAACUCCGUGUUAUGUUAGCGGCUACCUUAUUUACCGACUUCAGUCAAGUAUUUUUGGCCGCCAUGAAGUGCGAGGACAGACUUUUGAAAUGUGUACAACCAUUAGAGGCGGGUUCCCCUAGCCCGAGUCCAUCUGAGAGGGCUACUGCUAUUUUGAGGUCCGAGGCUUUGACCGGUAGUAGACCUGACAGUUUUGGGUCCGACUCACGACAGAAUUACAGAAGACGUGAACGGAGGCGGGGCAAGCACAAGCCACGAACCAAACAGUCCAGGAGUAGUGUUAGCGGUUAUAGUAGAGGUUCUACAAGACUUCCCAUUCAGAGAGACCGUCCACAAUGUCAGACGUGUGGCAAACACCAUGAUGGACAGUGCCAAGUAGGGAGUGUGGUAUGUUUUCAUUGUGGCCAACAUGGUCACUACUUGAGGAAGUGCCCUCAACUGGCUCAGGGAGCUACUUCAGUGCCCAUACUUCCCAUUCAGAGAGACCGUCCACAAUGUCAGACGUGUGGCAAACACCAUGAUGGACAGUGCCAAGUAGGGAGUGUGGUAUGUUUUCAUUGUGGCCAACAUGGUCACUACUUGAGGAAGUGCCCUCAACUGGCUCAGGGAGCUACUUCAGUGCCCAUCUGAGCAUCAGUUAGGCAUCCAGUAGUGCAUCCAGCAGUGAGACUCAUACUAGUACAGCAUGCUGUGGUAGCAGAGCAAGGCAGAGGGUACUGAGGAUGCCCUACGACUGACACCAAACUCCAUGCCAUGAUCCAAUAGGACCAUCACGCUUCAUAAAGAUUAAUUGGAGGAAUUUGAGCUUUCAAAUUGCUGAGCUUCUCUGCUUCGCAUCUCUAACAGAAGCUUCAGUUUCAAACUUUCGUUUGGUAAGAGACUUAUACAAUUAGUUAAAUUUCUAUCCAUUUUUGUUAGCUCCAUUAGAACUGAAAUAGAUCAUGUUGACACCAUAUGCUCGAUAAAAUUCCCCAAAGACAACAACAAAGCCAAACCAGUGGACUUCUCUAUGAUUUUCCAAAAACGUAUACUUGUUUUAACCUGAGUUUUUGAUACAUUAAAAUAGACUCUUCAAUGAUCAUUUUGAAUAUGGUUUCAUGAAAAACGAAGUUAGAAUGACAUAUUUAAACUUUCUUUUGCUAUUUUGAAUUUCUGCAGAAUUUAGCAUUUCACUUUGAAUUCUUGAUUGACCAUUCAUUUGAACUGCGAAUAACUUGAAAUUUUGCGAAUAGUAGCUUUACAUGUCUACUUUAAAUAUGGAGUGUGCUUGAAAUUACUGAAAGGAUGACUGAUGGUGAAUUUUUCUUUCAUGUUAACAGUUUUCUGAAAAUUUCUCAAACUUGCAGCAACUUUGUUAUAGAACAAUUGAUUUGAAGAACUUUUACCCUUAUGUUAACCCUUAAUCUUGAGUAUGUUAAAUUAGAUAUGUCAAGGAUGAUUUGAAACUUAACUUUCAGUCCAAGAGGCUUACAACAGGUUUCACCUUUGUUGAAAAGUAACAGCAAACCAUCCUACUCACAAUCUUUGUUUUCUGGUCAUUGUUAUCAGUGUUUUCCUUUUGGUAUAAUUCCAUGUGGUGAAGCUUAAGCUAUUGUUCAGUCAGGAAGUGUGUGUAAUAGUUUCAAGAGAGAGAGUAUUAGAACUGAUGAUGGUUUACGUUUUUCAUAAUAAGAUCAAGGACUCUAGUUGCCUGAAGAUUGGUUUAGUGGUGCUUGCUGGGAUUUGUAUACCAUUGUUUCCAGGUAGUAUGCACGAAACUGAAAAGGAGCAAAUCGGCAGUGGUGGCAUUCGACAUUUGAAGCUUGUCAACCUCUGUCCUUUAAGGUGUAUAUUUUUGCUUCUGAAAUGUUGAUGCUUCCUUGACUCAUUGAGCCUCUGUUGUCCUUAAUCUGCUAUUUGGGAAAAUGGGCAGUAGCUUGCUAUGGUCAUGAAAUAUGUACUAGGAGGCUCAUUUUGGUCUUGUAUAAAUGUCCAGAACAUCCAUCUAUAAUGAAUCACUCUCAGUAUUCUGUUUUGGUCAUGUAUAUAUUGAAACCAAUGUUCCUUCAA